Molecule: unclassified non-coding RNA, 232 nt
Filed under: fungal sp.
Lineage: Eukaryota; Fungi
Description: partial internal transcribed spacer region
Rfam family: Eukaryotic small subunit ribosomal RNA (bases 1-46)
Source: RNAcentral
AAGUCGUAACAAGGUUUCCGUAGGUGAACCUGCGGAAGGAUCAUUAACACUUUCAUUUUAUUGAAAAUUCAUUUUUCAAUAAUUUACUUACCCACAUUUUUGGAUGAAUUAUCUCUUUUUUAUUCUUUUUUAAAAUUUUAUACCCAAAUACCAUAUUAUUUCUAACAUUUAUACACAAAAAGUUUAAGAAAAACAUAAAAAACAACUCUUAACAACGGAUAUCUAGGCUCUC